CGGGGUGUGGCGCAGCUUGGUAGCGCGCUACGUUCGGGACGUAGAGGCCGCAGGUUCAAAUCCUGUCACCCCGACCC
Molecule: transfer RNA, 77 nt
Filed under: Janibacter limosus
Lineage: Bacteria; Bacillati; Actinomycetota; Actinomycetes; Micrococcales; Intrasporangiaceae
Also listed under: 1 other name
Description: tRNA-Pro
Rfam family: tRNA
About the family: Transfer RNA (tRNA) molecules are approximately 80 nucleotides in length. Their secondary structure includes four short double-helical elements and three loops (D, anti-codon, and T loops).
Source: RNAcentral